GAUGAACGCUGGCGGCGUGCCUAAUACAUGCAAGUCGAGCGAACAGAUGAGGAGCUUGCUCCUCUGACGUUAGCGGCGGACGGGUGAGUAACACGUGGAUAACCUACCUAUAAGACUGGGAUAACUUCGGGAAACCGGAGCUAAUACCGGAUAAUAUAUUGAACCGCAUGGUUCAAUAGUGAAAGACGGUUUUGCUGUCACUUAUAGAUGGAUCCGCGCCGCAUUAGCUAGUUGGUAAGGUAACGGCUUACCAAGGCAACGAUGCGUAGCCGCCCUGAGAGGGUGAUCGGCCCCACUGGAACUGAGACACGGUCCAGACUCCUACGGGAGGCAGCAGUAGGGAAUCUUCCGCCAUGGGCGAAAGCCUGACGGAGCAACGCCGCGUGCGUGAUGAAGGUCUUCGGAUCGUAAAACUCUGUUAUUAGGGAAGACCAAAUGUGUACGUAACUAUGCACGUCUUGACGGUACCUAAUCAGAAAGCCACGGCUACCUACGUG
RNAcentral lists this ribosomal RNA (497 nucleotides) under uncultured bacterium. Its description in RNAcentral is "partial 16S ribosomal RNA". It matches the Rfam family "Bacterial small subunit ribosomal RNA", at positions 28 to 507 of the family's 1533-position model. The record is from RNAcentral.